UACGGUGAAUACGUUCCCGGACCUUGUACACACCGCCCGUCAAGCCAUGGAAGCGUGGGUGUACCUAAAGUCGGUAACCGCAAGGAGCCGCCUAGGGUAAAACUAAGUAACUGGGGCU
This 118-nucleotide ribosomal RNA is filed under the name uncultured bacterium. Its description in RNAcentral is "partial 16S ribosomal RNA". It matches the Rfam family "Bacterial small subunit ribosomal RNA", at positions 1358 to 1482 of the family's 1533-position model. The record is from RNAcentral.